Molecule: ribosomal RNA, 460 nt
Filed under: uncultured bacterium
Lineage: Bacteria
Description: partial 16S ribosomal RNA
Rfam family: Bacterial small subunit ribosomal RNA
Source: RNAcentral
CCUACGGGGGGCAGCAGUGAGGAAUAUUGGUCAAUGGGCGCGAGCCUGAACCAGCCAAGUAGCGUGAAGGAUGACUGCCCUACGGGUUGAAAACUUCUUUUAUAAAGGAAUAAAGUGAGGCACGUGUGCCUUUUUGUAUGUACUUUAUGAAUAAGGAUCGGCUAACUCCGUGCCAGCAGCCGCGGUAAUACGGAGGAUCCGAGCGUUAUCCGGAUUUAUGGGGUUUAAAGGGAGCGUAGAUGGGUUGUUAAGUCAGUUGUGAAAGUUUUCGGCUCAACCGUAAAAUUGCAAUUGAUACUGGCAGCCUUGAGUACAGUUGAGGUAGGCGGAAUGCUUGGUGUAGCGGUGAAAUGCAUAGAUAUCACGCAGAACUCCGAUUGCGAAGGCAGCUUACUAAGCCAUAACUGACACUGACGCACGAAAGCGUGGGGAUCAAACAGGAUUAGAUACCCCAGUAGUC